Molecule: ribosomal RNA, 270 nt
Filed under: Macrohomotoma robusta
Lineage: Eukaryota; Metazoa; Arthropoda; Insecta; Hemiptera; Carsidaridae
Description: partial 12S ribosomal RNA
Source: RNAcentral
AAGUAGUAUUAGAUAUGGUCUUGAAACUUAAAGAAUUUGGCGGUAUUUUAUCUUUUUAGAGGAACCUAGUUUUUAAUUGAUGCUCCACGAUUGCUUUACUUUUUUUAGAUUACUUGUAUACCGCUGUCAUGAGUGUAUAAAAAUGUUAUUUUCAUUUGAUGAUAUGAUAGGUCAAGGUGCAGUUUGGAAAGAGUGGGUUACCAUAAAAGAAUGAAAAGAAAAAGAAUUUAAAAGUAAAAAUAGAAAUUAUGAAGAAGAUUUUAAAAUAUG